RNAcentral lists this transfer RNA (74 nucleotides) under Omnitrophica bacterium RIFCSPHIGHO2_02_FULL_51_18. RNAcentral describes it as "tRNA-Arg". It matches the Rfam family "tRNA". From Rfam's summary of the family: Transfer RNA (tRNA) molecules are approximately 80 nucleotides in length. Their secondary structure includes four short double-helical elements and three loops (D, anti-codon, and T loops). Lineage: Bacteria; Pseudomonadati; Candidatus Omnitrophota. The record is from RNAcentral.
GCGCCUGUAGCUCAAUUGGAUAGAGCGCUUCCCUCCGAAGGAAGAGGUUGCUGGUUCAAGUCCUGCCAGGCGCA